This 252-nucleotide ribosomal RNA is filed under the name uncultured bacterium. Its description in RNAcentral is "partial 16S ribosomal RNA". It matches the Rfam family "Bacterial small subunit ribosomal RNA", at positions 524 to 776 of the family's 1533-position model. The record is from RNAcentral.
UACGGAGGAUGCGAGCGUUAUCCGGAUUUAUUGGGUUUAAAGGGUGCGUAGGCGGGCUUUUAAGUCAGCGGUAAAAAUUCGGGGCUCAACCCCGUCCGGCCGUUGAAACUGGGGGCCUUGAGUGGGCGAGGAGAAGGCGGAAUGCGUGGUGUAGCGGUGAAAUGCAUAGAUAUCACGCAGAACCCCGAUUGCGAAGGCAGCCUUCCGGCGCCCUACUGACGCUGAGGCACGAAAGCGUGGGUAUCGAACAGG